This 337-nucleotide RNase P RNA is filed under the name Ramlibacter sp. WS9. Its description in RNAcentral is "Bacterial RNase P class A". It matches the Rfam family "Bacterial RNase P class A". From Rfam's summary of the family: Ribonuclease P (RNase P) is a ubiquitous endoribonuclease, found in archaea, bacteria and eukarya as well as chloroplasts and mitochondria. Its best characterised activity is the generation of mature 5'-ends of tRNAs by cleaving the 5'-leader elements of precursor-tRNAs. The record is from Rfam by way of RNAcentral. Lineage: Bacteria; Pseudomonadati; Pseudomonadota; Betaproteobacteria; Burkholderiales; Comamonadaceae.
GAAGCCCGCCAGACCGCCGCUGGUGCAAUCUGGGAAACCAGGCACUGGAGGAACGUCCGGACUGCACAGGGCAGCGUAGGAGGUAAUACCUCUCCACCGUGAGGUGAGGAUCAGAGCAACAGAGACGAGUCGCACCGGGCAACCGGUGCGGGUGAAACGGGCAAUCUCUACGCGCAGCAAUACCAAAUAGGCCAGCGUUGAUGUGGCUCCGCGGAGCUGGCGGGUAGGUAGCACCGAGCCGUGGGGGCGACCCCCGGCCCAGAGGAAUGGCGGUCACGUUCGGCCUUCGCAAGAGGGCCAGACGCCACAGAAUCCGGCUUAUCGGCGGACUUCACAC